Molecule: long non-coding RNA, 1358 nt
Filed under: Salmo salar (Atlantic salmon)
Lineage: Eukaryota; Metazoa; Chordata; Actinopteri; Salmoniformes; Salmonidae
Description: lncRNA (ENSSSAG00000094404.1)
Source: RNAcentral
AUCCCCUUUUAUUGGUUGUUGGCAUCCAGGUGAACCAAUGGCACAAGAGUAAGAUUUAAUCACCAAAAAAAUAAAACAGAGAGUUCCAGUUUCACAAAGUAAAAAAAAUAAAAAAAGUUGAUUUUUUAUUUUUAUUUAUAUAGUUACAUUUAGUAAAUUACCCAGAAACACUUGAGUCAUACACAGGCAUUACCAAGAACUACAGUGAGGUACUCUAACCUCUCACCUGUGUGAACCAACAGUCAACACACACACACACAUAUCCAUCCACUAACACCACAUCAUUGACCUCUUGGACUAGAUCACAGUGGAUCACAUUUACAUGAUAAUGGAGGAGAUGAAGCACCAGAUUCCAGUUGUGGAGGAGGAGUGAAACCAGGAAGUGAGAUGGUUUUUAUAUCAAUGACCAACAGAUCGUUCUCCAUGAUAAUGGCUGUGCCUUUAGAGAGGGAAAUUAAAAGAAAUUCUUCCAGUCAGAGAGGUUUUAACGUCCGAACGGGAUCGGCGAUCCCGUCAGAGAGGUUAACGCCCGACCGGGAUCGGCGAUCCCGUCAGAGAGGUUAACGUCCGACCGGGAUCGGGGAUCCAGUCAGAGAGGUUAACGUCCCACCAGAUCAGAGCUCUGGACAGCUGUAAGGACACACACUUCCUUCAUGAAAACAACAUUUAACAGGUUAUUUCCUGUCUGGGAGAUCAAAAUCUCCAUCAAUGAGCUCACAGCUAGAGGAAGACAUAAUUUCCUCUAGGUUACACAUUGGAACAUUUUACAUUUCCUGUGAUUCAAUAUUAUGAGAUGAGGGAGUAAAACCCCAUUCCAGAAUCCACUUCCAGUUUUUCCACGGCGCUCAGAGUCCAGCGGGUCUCUACUUCCAGACAGAACCGAUUCUGUAUCAUCACUGCUUUUAUUUCUUCUUCUAAAAGGGUCAUUUCAAAAUAAGCCGACAUAUGCAGCGUUUACCGUAAACAUUGCAUUGUGGGAUUGAAUCCUGGCCAACAAAAUCAGGUCAUGGAUGAUAAAUACAGACAGGUGGAGGGAGACACCUGGAUACAAAGACCAAAAUAAACACACAGAGACGGAUAGAGAGAGAGAGAGAGAGAGACGGAUAGAGAGAGAGAGACGGAUAGAGACAGAUAGAGAGAGAGAGACGGAUAGAGAGAGAGAGAGAGACGGAUAGAGAGAGAGAGAGAGAGACGGAUAGAGAGAGAGAGAGAGAGAUGAGAGAGAGACGGAUAGAGAGACGAUGAGAGAGAGACGGAUAGAGAGACGAUAGAGAGAGACGGAUAGAGAGACGAGAGAGAGAGACGGAUAGAGAGAAAGAGAGAGAGACGGAUAGAGAGAGAGAGAGAGAGACGGAUAG